RNAcentral lists this ribosomal RNA (53 nucleotides) under Caloscypha fulgens. RNAcentral describes it as "partial 28S ribosomal RNA". The record is from RNAcentral. Lineage: Eukaryota; Fungi; Ascomycota; Pezizomycetes; Pezizales; Caloscyphaceae.
AUUCUCAAGACCAAUUUCGACGUAAACUGGUUCUUGUUAAUCGUUACCUUGAC